AGCCAGUAUUAGAGGCACUGCCUGCCCAGUGACAAUCGUUAAACGGCCGCGGUAUCCUGACCGUGCAAAGGUAGCAUAAUCAUUUGUUCUUUAAAUAAGGACUUGUAUGAAUGGCCACACGAGGGUUUUACUGUCUCUUACUUUUAAUCCGUGAAAUUGACUUCCCUGUGAAAAGGCAGGAAUAAUAAAAUAAGACGAGAAGACCCUAUGGAGCUUUAAUUAAUCAACCCAAAAAUUAUAAAUCUUAACCACCAAGGAAUAACAAAAUUUUAUAUGGGUUGAUAAUUUCGGUUGGGGUGACCUCGGAGUACAAAAAAACCUCCGAGUGAUUAAAACCUAGGCCUACCAGCCAAAGUAUUAUAUCACUUAUUGAUCCAAAAUUUUUUGAUCAACGGAACAAGUUACCCUAGGGAUAACAGCGCAAUCCUAUUCUAGAGUCCAUAUCGACAAUAGGGUUUACGACCUCGAUGUUGGAUCAGGACAUCCUAAUGGUGUAGCCGCUAUUAAGGGUUCGUUUGUU
This 520-nucleotide ribosomal RNA is filed under the name Mesoplodon peruvianus (Peruvian beaked whale). RNAcentral describes it as "LSU rRNA". It matches the Rfam family "Bacterial large subunit ribosomal RNA", at positions 1838 to 2581 of the family's 2925-position model. The record is from RNAcentral. Lineage: Eukaryota; Metazoa; Chordata; Mammalia; Artiodactyla; Ziphiidae.